Molecule: long non-coding RNA, 1351 nt
Organism: Bos taurus (domestic cattle)
Lineage: Eukaryota; Metazoa; Chordata; Mammalia; Artiodactyla; Bovidae
Source: Ensembl
GAAGCCCAAACACUCAAUAUUAGCCAUUAGUAGUAGUAGUUUGGAGAAGGCGAUGGCCGCCCACUCUUGUACUCUUGCCUGGAAAAUCCCGUGGACUGAGGAGCCUGGUAGGCUGCAGUCCAUGGGGUCGCUGAGAGUCAGACACGACUGAGCAACUUACCUUUCACUUUUCACUUUCAUGCAUUGGAGAAGGAAAUGGCAACCCACUCCAGUGUUCUUGCCUGGAAAAUCCCAGGGACGGGGGAGUCUGGUGGGCUGCCGUCUAUGGGGUCACACAGAGUUGGACACGACUGCAGUGACUUAGCAGCAGCAGCAGCAGUAGUAGUUCAGAAGUUUAAGUUUCCAGGUGAUAGUUAGGUCUUUUACCUACUUUUACCUGGAAUACCUACUCAGUAUUCCAACUCUUCUUGCCAGGGGUGCAAUUUGAGUGCUGGUGCAUAUAAGCUAGCCCUUUGAGAUUCUUUUUAAGAGAAAGGAAAAGACUCGACAGUUUAAUAAAUGCUUGUUUCCUAGUUUCCCACAUUUUAUUAGAAAAUAGUAGAUCUAUAUUCUGGUUACCAUCAAUUUUAAAUCACCGAGAAGAAUUAAAAGGGAGGGUGGGGAAACAGCAUUUAUAGAGCACCAACUGUAUGCCACAGAGCAUGCUAAUCACUUUGUGUGCAUCCUAUUUAGUCAUCACAACACAUUUACAUGUUCAGUGUUAUUCUAAUCAUACAGAUGAGGAAACCAAGGCUCUGGGUUAAGUAAUUUGCUCAAGGUCACAAAGCCAGUAAGUUGUAGAGCCCACAGUAUUGCUCAUGUAUUUUCAUAGACUGUUCCUUCAUUAAGAUAGCUGAUAAAUGUUAAAGUCUUGGCAUUGUCUCAAAUUUGACAUGGCAUAUACAGGACUCUGAAUUCCUUUUAAUCAUUCUUUGUCCAGGUGUUUUUUAAUGGUUGGGGAGUUCCAUCUCUGACCUUCUAGAAAUUAUUUUUCUCUACAGAGUCAAGUUUUUGAGUCUUCCUUUUUAACUCGUAUUCACUAGGGAGUUCCACAGCCUUUUACUUUUUUUUUUUCCAUUGGUCUCCUAGUGUAUUUGCAUUUUACGUAAUAUAUUGAUCCCCUCACCACCUUUACUCUCCACAGAGCUGUUAUGAGAGGAAGAUGAUUUGAGGAAAUUCUCUUAGAGGAGAAGUUUUGAGGGGGGACAAAGUGUCCUUAAAGGUGUUGGGGGCGCGUGUAGUUUCCCUGGUUCUGUCUUGUUGCAGCAAAGAUUCGAAGUGAUGGAUGGACUAAUGUUAUAGCUCAGUUUUAUUUGGCAAACAAAGGAAAAUACAUCUUCAAGGCAUGAGGGCAGGCCGACCCAAAAGCUGG